This 335-nucleotide unclassified non-coding RNA is filed under the name soil metagenome. RNAcentral describes it as "partial contains 5.8S ribosomal RNA, internal transcribed spacer 2, and large subunit ribosomal RNA". The stretch from base 1 to 120 matches the Rfam family "5.8S ribosomal RNA", at positions 35 to 154 of the family's 154-position model. The record is from RNAcentral.
GAUGAAGAACGUAGCGAAAUGUGAAAAGUAGUGUGAAUUGCAGAAUUCAGUGAAUCAUCGAAUCUUUGAACGCACAUUGCGCCUCGCGGUAUUCUGGCGGGCAUGCCUGUUCGAGCGUCAUUUCAACCAUCAAGCGCCUGCGCUUGUGUUGGAGCCCUGCGGCUGCCGCAGGCUCUCAAACCCAGUGGCGGGCUCGUCGUCGUACCGAGUGCAGUAAAUUUACCACGCUCAGGGCACGCGACGGGUGACCGGCCGUAAAACCCCCAUCUUCUCAAGGUUGACCUCGGAUCAGGUAGGAAUACCCGCUGAACUUAAGCAUAUCAAUAAGCGGAGGA